Molecule: non-coding RNA, 126 nt
Organism: Triticum aestivum (bread wheat)
Lineage: Eukaryota; Viridiplantae; Streptophyta; Magnoliopsida; Poales; Poaceae
Source: Rfam
CCCAUACUCCCUCUGUACGAAAAAGCUUGUCCCUCAAAUGAAUGUAUCUAGCAUCAAAUUAGUGCUAGAUACAUCCAUUUGAGAGACAAGCUUGAGACAAACUUUUUCGAACGGAGGGAGUACCUC